CAUGCCAAUGGCACUGCCCGGUAGCUAAAUGCGGAAGAGAUAAGUGCUGAAAGCAUCUAAGCACGAAACUUGCCCCGAGAUGAGUUCUCCCUGACUCCUUGAGAGUCCUGAAGGAACGUUGAAGACGACGACGUUGAUAGGCCGGGUGUGUAAGCGCAGCGAUGCGUUGAGCUAACCGGUACUAAUGAACCGUGAGGCUUAACCUUACAACGCCGAAG
Molecule: ribosomal RNA, 218 nt
Filed under: Escherichia coli
Lineage: Bacteria; Pseudomonadati; Pseudomonadota; Gammaproteobacteria; Enterobacterales; Enterobacteriaceae
Description: partial 23S ribosomal RNA
Rfam family: Bacterial large subunit ribosomal RNA
Source: RNAcentral